RNAcentral lists this ribosomal RNA (483 nucleotides) under Aquipseudomonas alcaligenes. RNAcentral's name for it is "bacterial SSU rRNA". It matches the Rfam family "Bacterial small subunit ribosomal RNA", at positions 15 to 493 of the family's 1533-position model. The record is from RNAcentral. Lineage: Bacteria; Pseudomonadati; Pseudomonadota; Gammaproteobacteria; Pseudomonadales; Pseudomonadaceae.
GAUCCUGGCUCAGAUUGAACGCUGGCGGCAGGCCUAACACAUGCAAGUCGAGCGGAUGAGUGGAGCUUGCUCCAUGAUUCAGCGGCGGACGGGUGAGUAAUGCCUAGGAAUCUGCCUGGUAGUGGGGGACAACGUUUCGAAAGGAACGCUAAUACCGCAUACGUCCUACGGGAGAAAGCAGGGGACCUUCGGGCCUUGCGCUAUCAGAUGAGCCUAGGUCGGAUUAGCUAGUUGGUGAGGUAAAGGCUCACCAAGGCGACGAUCCGUAACUGGUCUGAGAGGAUGAUCAGUCACACUGGAACUGAGACACGGUCCAGACUCCUACGGGAGGCAGCAGUGGGGAAUAUUGGACAAUGGGCGAAAGCCUGAUCCAGCCAUGCCGCGUGUGUGAAGAAGGUCUUCGGAUUGUAAAGCACUUUAAGUUGGGAGGAAGGGCAGUAAGUUAAUACCUUGCUGUUUUGACGUUACCGACAGAAUAAGCAC